GCCAGCCCGCUCAGAAACUCAAAGGAAUUGACGGGGCCCGCACAAGCGGUGGAGUAUGUGGUUAAUUCGACGCAACGCGCAGAACCUUACCUGGACUUGACAUCCCGAGAAUCUCUAGGAAACUAGAGAGUGCCUCUUUACGGAGGAACUUGGAGACAGGUGCUGCAUGGCCGUCGUCAGCUCGUGUCGUGAGAUGUUGGGUUAAGUCCCGCAACGAGCGCAACCCUCGCCUUUAGUUGCCAGCAUUAAGUUGGGCACUCUAAAGGGACUGCCGGUGUCAAACCGGAGGAAGGUGGGGAUGACGUCAAGUCCUCAUGGCCUUUAUGUCCAGGGCUACACACGUACUACAAUGGCCGGUACAAAGAGCAGCGAGUCAGCGAUGGCCAGCUAAUCUCGUAAAACCGGUCUCAGUUCGGAUUGGAGUCUGCAACUCGACUCCAUGAAGUUGGAAUCGCUAGUAAUCGUGGAUCAGCAUGCCACGGUGAAUACGUUCCCGGGCCUU
This 502-nucleotide ribosomal RNA is filed under the name uncultured Desulfobulbaceae bacterium. Its description in RNAcentral is "bacterial SSU rRNA". It matches the Rfam family "Bacterial small subunit ribosomal RNA", at positions 885 to 1382 of the family's 1533-position model. Lineage: Bacteria; Pseudomonadati; Thermodesulfobacteriota; Desulfobulbia; Desulfobulbales; Desulfobulbaceae. The record is from RNAcentral.